RNAcentral lists this small RNA (28 nucleotides) under Bombyx mori (domestic silkworm). RNAcentral describes it as "ovarian small RNA-8839". Lineage: Eukaryota; Metazoa; Arthropoda; Insecta; Lepidoptera; Bombycidae. The record is from RNAcentral.
UGGUCGGACCAACGUAUUUGGCUGCGCC